UACGUAGGGUGCAAGCGUUAUCCGGAAUUAUUGGGCGUAAAGAGCUCGUAGGCGGUUUGUCGCGUCUGCUGUGAAAACUGGAGGCUCAACCUCCAGCCUGCAGUGGGUACGGGCAAACUAGAGUGCGGUAGGGGAGAUUGGAAUUCCUGGUGUAGCGGUGGAAUGCGCAGAUAUCAGGAGGAACACCGAUGGCGAAGGCAGAUCUCUGGGCCGUAACUGACGCUGAGACGCGAAAGCGUGGGGAGCGAACAGG
RNAcentral lists this ribosomal RNA (253 nucleotides) under uncultured bacterium. Its description in RNAcentral is "partial 16S ribosomal RNA". It matches the Rfam family "Bacterial small subunit ribosomal RNA", at positions 524 to 776 of the family's 1533-position model. The record is from RNAcentral.